UUCCGUAGGUGAACCUGCGGAGGGAUCAUUACCGAGUUUACAACUCCCAAACCCAAUGUGAACCAUACCAAACUGUUGCCUCGGCGGGGUCACGCCCCGGGUGCGUCGCAGCCCCGGAACCAGGCGCCCGCCGGAGGGACCAACCAAACUCUUUUCUGUAGUCCCCUCGCGGACGUUAUUUCUUACAGCUCUGAGCAAAAAUUCAAAAUGAAUCAAAACUUUCAACAACGGAUCUCUUGGUUCUGGCAUCGAUGAAGAACGCAGCGAAAUGCGAUAAGUAAUGUGAAUUGCAGAAUUCAGUGAAUCAUCGAAUCUUUGAACGCACAUUGCGCCCGCCAGUAUUCUGGCGGGCAUGCCUGUCCGAGCGUCAUUUCAACCCUCGAACCCCUCCGGGGGGUCGGCGUUGGGGACCUCGGGAGCCCCUAAGACGGGAUCCCGGCCCCGAAAUACAGUGGCGGUCUCGCCGCAGCCUCUCCUGCGCAGUAGUUUGCACAACUCGCACCGGGAGCGCGGCGCGUCCACGUCCGUAAAACACCCAACUUCUGAAAUGUUGACCUCGGAUCAGGUAGGAAUACCCGCUGAACUUAAGCAUAUCAAUAAGCGGAGGAA
Molecule: ribosomal RNA, 609 nt
Filed under: Trichoderma viride
Lineage: Eukaryota; Fungi; Ascomycota; Sordariomycetes; Hypocreales; Hypocreaceae
Description: eukaryotic LSU rRNA
Rfam family: 5.8S ribosomal RNA (bases 217-370)
Source: RNAcentral